Molecule: non-coding RNA, 111 nt
Organism: Felis catus (domestic cat)
Lineage: Eukaryota; Metazoa; Chordata; Mammalia; Carnivora; Felidae
Source: Rfam
GGGGAUGCUGGUGUGGGCACCCUACAUGCUAAAAUUGGAACAAUACUGAGAUGAUGACCGUGGCCUCUGUGCCACGGUGGCACGCACAUUUGUGAAGUGUUCCAUGUUUAG